UGUAAUGUUGGGUCAGUCCGCAACGAGCGCACCUUAUCCUUGUUUGCCAGCACUUCGGGUGGGAACUCCAGGAGACUGCCGGUGAUAAACCGGAGGAAGGUGGGGACGACGUCAAGUCAUCAUGGCCCUUACGAGUAGGGCUACACACGUGCUACAAUGGCAUAUACAGAGGGCUGCCAACUCGCGAGAGUGAGCGAAUCCCAUAAAGUAUGUCGUAGUCCGGAUUGGAGUCUGCAACUCGACUCCAUGAAGUCGGAAUCGCUAGUAAUCGUGGAUCAGAAUGCCACGGUGAAUACGUUCCCGGGCCUUGUACACACCGCCCGUCACACCAUGGGAGUGGGCUGCACCAGAAGUAGAUAGCUUAACCUUCGGGAGGGCGUUUACCACGGUGUGGUUCGUGACUGGGGUGAAGUCGUAACAAGGUAGCCCUAGGGGAACCUGGGGCUGGAUCACCUCCUU
This 459-nucleotide ribosomal RNA is filed under the name uncultured Alteromonadales bacterium. Its description in RNAcentral is "bacterial SSU rRNA". It matches the Rfam family "Bacterial small subunit ribosomal RNA", at positions 1068 to 1532 of the family's 1533-position model. Lineage: Bacteria; Pseudomonadati; Pseudomonadota; Gammaproteobacteria; Alteromonadales. The record is from RNAcentral.